This 429-nucleotide ribosomal RNA is filed under the name Chloroflexota bacterium. RNAcentral describes it as "Chloroflexi bacterium partial 16S ribosomal RNA". It matches the Rfam family "Bacterial small subunit ribosomal RNA", at positions 355 to 776 of the family's 1533-position model. The record is from RNAcentral. Lineage: Bacteria; Bacillati; Chloroflexota.
UGGGGAAUAUUGCACAAUGGGCGCAAGCCUGAUGCAGCCAUGCCGCGUGUAUGAAGAAGGCCUUCGGGUUGUAAAGUACUUUCAGUCGGGAGGAAGGUGGUAAGGUUAAUAACCUUAUAAAUUGACGUUACCGACAGAAGAAGCACCGGCUAACUCCGUGCCAGCAGCCGCGGUAAUACGGAGGGUGCAAGCGUUAAUCGGAAUUACUGGGCGUAAAGCGCACGCAGGCGGUUGAUUGAGUCAGAUGUGAAAUCCCCGGGCUUAACCCGGGAAUUGCAUCUGAUACUGGUCAGCUAGAGUCUUGUAGAGGGGGGUAGAAUUCCAUGUGUAGCGGUGAAAUGCGUAGAGAUGUGGAGGAAUACCGGUGGCGAAGGCGGCCCCCUGGACAAAGACUGACGCUCAGGUGCGAAAGCGUGGGGAGCAAACAGG